GUGCCAGCAGCCGCGGUAAUUCCAGCUCCAGUAGCGUAUAUUAAAGCUGUUGCGGUUAAAAAGCUCGUAGUUGGAUAUCAGUGCGUGUCCGGUCCGGUAUGCCUGGCACUGUCGCUCUGCGGCAGCGCUGGGCUCCCAAAUAUCGGCUGGCCGCAUUCAAUCGUGCCGGAUCCGUCGACGGGCCGUUUUUCGGAGGGGCCUGUUGGCGACCGGCGACGUUACCUUGAACAAAUUAGAGUGCUCAAAGCAGGCUCUGAAUGCCUGUAUACAUAUUCAUGGAAUUGGAGAAUACGUCCCUGGCUCGAUUUGGUUGGUUUUGAGAGUCGAAGGGAAAUGAUUAAUAGGGACUGACGGAGGCAUUCGUAUUGCGACGCGAGGGGUGAAAUCCUGUGACCGUCGCACGACGAACUACUGCGAAAGCAUUUGCCGAGAAUGUUUUCAUUAGUCAAGAACGAAAGUUAGAGGUUCGAAGAC
RNAcentral lists this ribosomal RNA (474 nucleotides) under Balanus balanus. Its description in RNAcentral is "SSU rRNA". It matches the Rfam family "Eukaryotic small subunit ribosomal RNA", at positions 564 to 1005 of the family's 1831-position model. The record is from RNAcentral. Lineage: Eukaryota; Metazoa; Arthropoda; Thecostraca; Balanomorpha; Balanidae.